Molecule: ribosomal RNA, 496 nt
Filed under: uncultured bacterium
Lineage: Bacteria
Description: partial 16S ribosomal RNA
Rfam family: Bacterial small subunit ribosomal RNA
Source: RNAcentral
ACGCACGCUGGCGGCGUGCCUCAUCCCUGCAAGUAGCACGCUGAAGAGAGGAGCUUGCUCUUCUUGGAUGAGUUGCGAACGGGUGAGUAACGCGUAGGUAACCUGCCUUGUAGCGGGGGAUAACUAUUGGAAACGAUAGCUAAUACCGCAUAACAAUGGAUGACACAUGUCAUUUAUUUGAAAGGGGCAAUUGCUCCACUACAAGAUGGACCUGCGUUGUAUUAGCUAGUAGGUGAGGUAAUGGCUCACCUAGGCGACGAUACAUAGCCGACCUGAGAGGGUGAUCGGCCACACUGGGACUGAGACACGGCCCAGACUCCUACGGGAGGCAGCAGUAGGGAAUCUUCGGCAAUGGGGGCAACCCUGACCGAGCAACGCCGCGUGAGUGAAGAAGGUUUUCGGAUCGUAAAGCUCUGUUGUAAGUCAAGAACGGGUGUGAGAGUGGAAAGUUCACACUGUGACGGUAGCUUACCAGAAAGGGACGGCUAACUACGUA